Molecule: ribosomal RNA, 495 nt
Filed under: uncultured bacterium
Lineage: Bacteria
Description: partial 16S ribosomal RNA
Rfam family: Bacterial small subunit ribosomal RNA
Source: RNAcentral
GACGAACGCUGGCGGCGUGCCUAAUACAUGCAAGUAGAACGCUGAAGGAGGAGCUUGCUUCUCUGGAUGAGUUGCGAACGGGUGAGUAACGCGUAGGUAACCUGCCUGGUAGCGGGGGAUAACUGUUGGAAACGAUAGCUAAUACCGCAUAAGAGUAGAUGUUGCAUGACAUUUGCUUAAAAGGUGCAAUUGCAUCACUACCAGAUGGACCUGCGUUGUAUUAGCUAGUUGGUGGGGUAACGGCUUACCAAGGCGACGAUACAUAGCCGACCUGAGAGGGUGAUCGGCCGCACUGGGAAGGAGACACGGCCCACACUCCUUCGGGCGGGAGCAGGAGGGAAUCUUCGGCAAUGGGCGGAAAUCUGACCGAGCAACGCCGCGGGAGUGAAGAAGGUUUUCGGGUCGGAAAGCUCUGUUGUAAGAGAAGAACGAGUGUUAGAUGGGAAAGUUCACACUGUGACGGUAUCUUACCAGAAAGGGACGGCUAACUACGUG